AUAACAGGCUUAUCUCCCCCAAGAGUCCACAUCGACGGGGAGGUUUGGCACCUCGAUGUCGGCUCAUCGCAUCCUGGGGCUGUAGUCGGUCCCAAGGGUUGGGCUGUUCGCCCAUUAAAGCGGUACGCGAGCUGGGUUCAGAACGUCGUGAGACAGUUCGGUCCCUAUCCGUCGUGGGCGCAGGAAAUUUGAGAGGAGCUGUCCUUAGUACGAGAGGACCGGGAUGGACGCACCGCUGGUGUACCAGUUGUCUUGCCAAAGGCAUCGCUGGGUAGCUAUGUGCGGACGGGAUAAGUGCUGAAAGCAUCUAAGCAUGAAGCCCCCCUCAAGAUGAGAUUUCCCAUAGCGUCAAGCUAGUAAGAUCCCUGAAAGAUGAUCAGGUUGAUAGGUCAGAGGUGGAAGCGCGGUGACGUGUGGAGCUGACUGAUACUAAUCGAUCGAGGACUUAACCAAAA
Molecule: ribosomal RNA, 455 nt
Filed under: Mesobacillus campisalis
Lineage: Bacteria; Bacillati; Bacillota; Bacilli; Caryophanales; Bacillaceae
Description: bacterial LSU rRNA
Rfam family: Bacterial large subunit ribosomal RNA
Source: RNAcentral